Equus caballus (horse) is the source of this 6734-nucleotide long non-coding RNA. The record is from Ensembl. NCBI's taxonomy places the organism in Eukaryota, Metazoa, Chordata, Mammalia, Perissodactyla, Equidae.
UUUAAUUCCUUAAGUAUUUAUUAUGCUUAUGUUAAAUAAUAAAUGAUUCAUUUCAAUUUUUGGGUGAGUCGUUCUGAGUCAAGAUGGCAAACGUUGAUGGAAAAAAUAACAAUGUUAAUAAUCAAAACCAAAUAAGUAUAAAAUAAAAUGGGAAUUCCAGAUUGAUGAAACGAAAACCUUAUGUGGACAAAUGGAGUUGAGAUUUGUGCAACAUGGAUGAACCUGGUGGGCGUUAUGCUCAAUGAAACAAGCCAGACAUAGAAACACAGAUACUGCCUGGGGUCACUUACAUGUGAACUCGAAAAACUAUAAAAGAAAGGUCAACUCAUAGAAACAGAGAAUAGAAAAGUGGUUGCCAGCGGCUGUGGCGUGGGGGAAAUAGAGAGAGGCAGGUAAAAGGAGACAAACUUUCACCUCUCAGAUGAGAAACGUCGGAGGUUCUAAUGUCUGGCGUGGUGACUACAGUCGAUAACACUGAAUUGCAUAAUUGAAAUCAGCUAGGAGACUGGCACUUCAGUGUCCUCACACACACACGCAAAGUCACUAGGUGAGGUGAAAACAGCAAUCAGAGUUGAGGACAGAGCAGGAUCAGGGUAUGAAUCCCUGGGAACUAGAUCAAAUUCCUGGGAGAACUUCAGACUUUCGAAGGCCAUGAGAUAGCUGGCUUCAAACCAAGAAUCCAGGAGACGCAAGGAACCCGGUGACCUCUGGCUUCCAGGGGGAAGACAUAGAAAACUAGCUAAGGUCUAGAAGGCCCAGGAGGGUAGAGGGAGGGAGACGUAGGCUAGAGGGUGGGGGAGGGGCUCUGGUCCAGCCUGCUCCCCUGCUGUCCCCUCCCCAGCCCUCAAGAGCCCUUUGUGACAAGGCCGCACUUCUGUCAUGGGGGCCUGGGGUAAUAAUCUCCAAGCCACUCCCAGAGCUCAGUCGCCUGAGGGCAGCACUGCGUUUCAGACAUGCAGAAUCCUCUCAUGUUUCUGAAAAGCCUCUUUGCUACCUGGCCGAGCUCCAGUUCCACUUCCUGGGUGAUUGGGACCAUCCUCCCCUUCCUGUGUGGACUGGGGCUCUUCCUCCUGUGCCUUCCCUCCCUGCAGAGGAAUCCAUCCUCACGACCACCUUGUGAACGCAGAAACAUAAGGAAGCGUCAAGUGGAGCCAAGAGGGAAGAGCAGCAGGAGCAGGAAGAAAAGGGGAGCUUUGAAAGCUCCCCAGGGAGGCUGUCUUCCAAGGGAUGCUCCCAUCGCUCAUCAUGUCAAGACUACCCUGGGGAGGCGAGCAACACAGCAUACGCCAGAGCCCAGCAGCCAUGCGGAAAGCCUGUGGCAGGUGCUACUCUCACCGUGACUCCAGCACAUUCCCUGAGUCCUCUGACCCACACCCCUAUACCUCUGGCCUCCACCCUGCCAGCAGAACCUCCAGCUGACUUGACCGGAAUCCCACUGGACACUACUGCCAUGAGCACAGCUCCAGCUCACUCCUGUUGGCCAUUUCCCAACUCAGGCCACGGCCGCAUGAGCUGGCGCGUCGAGUUCCUCUCCCGGUGGAACAUGAUCAAGGUCUUGUUCUUCCCCGGGUCAGCACACCUCCAGUCCCAGCAAGGGCACCUGUCCUGCCACCGACCAGUAGCCUCAUUCCGGGGAGGCCCCACACAUAGGGAGGGAGAGACGGAUAGCCCCUCAGUUGCCAACCCUGAUGCGCCAAAGCUGCUCAAGAUGGAAAUCAGGAAAAGAACACAAACGAAGGCCUGGGAAAAAGAAGAACAAGACGACCCAGGCAGCCCUCAGAUGCUCGAAGCACCCAGUAUCACGUCUGGGCUGAAUUUCCGCUGGCGCCCACCCCUCCUGUCCUUGGAGUCGGCUGAUCUGAACGCAAGUGAGGCUCAACCCUCGGCCCUUCCACGGUCUACUUUUCCCUCCUCUGCCACCCGUGAUUCUGGCACCCGCUUGGAGGCCGACAGUGCAGAGUUCUCGGGAAAACCUCUUGAGCCCCACCCAGGAGAGAAACAUAAGACUUUGACCACAAAAGCAUCAGUUCUGCGCCUGGCCCAUCCCCUCCCUUCAACUUCACCUGUGAGUGAGGAAAACCAGAAGGCCCCGGGAGGGACCCUACCUGGCAAUGGCUGUGGGCCCUCUGAGGCCUCUCUGAUGGGACAGCAGGGCCGGCCGCCUUCUCCGAGCUUCGCAUUCAGCCUCUCGGACAGAAAUGGGCAGAGCGGGACGGUCGUGGGGGCCAAGCAAGGCCGUCUACACCUGAGUCCAGGGUCAGCAAUGGCCAGGAACGAGCCUCUGAAAGAGAGUGGAGGUGGGGCGUCACCAGAGCCCUGCCGUGGGGUGGCAACACUGGAGGGCGAGUCAGGGUCCCAGUCUUGGAGCCAGGUCGGAGGAACAGGAGACGCCCUCGGGACCAAACCCCUCCAGGCCCUGCCUGAAAAAGAAGAGGUUUUUCACGUCAGCCCUUUCAGAAAAAUGUUGAGACGCUUCCUGCCCUGCCUGAGGCCCAAGAAGGAGGAAGCACCAGAGGAGCCCCUUGCAAAGGCAAGCCCGCGUCAGCCACCGCCCAGAGCCAGGCACGGGUCACACGCAGCUCGGCGUCGGAUGGCAGGGCUGUUCAGGCGCCAUCGACAGUAUCAUCCUUUGUCUGGGCACUGGGAGAGAGACUGAGGGUUCGCCAAGGACUUCUAGUUUUUCUCCUUACCUCACCCUCUGUGGUGAUGGUGACUUCCAACCCCAAUUUUCCCCAAAUACAUGUUUUUUCUCCUGAGACCUGGUGGCCUCCGUCUUGCCCUGCUAGGGGUAGAAGCAGGGUCAGGCUCCGCCCUCCCUGAGUGUCUGCUGUGGCUUCCAGAAGGGACAGGGCCAUGCGGGGAGGCUGACUGCAGCGUGGCUCACGCGCCCUGACCCCAACUCCCUCAUUGCACGCGAAGUACCCAUCACGCCAUCCUUACAAAAACAAAUGGAAGCUUUAGGAUAUUUCCAGAGGAGCAAAACCUCUAGACCCCAGCCCAGGAUGGGCCCCACCCGUCCUCUCCUGCGUUCUCUGGCCCUUGAGCUUCUGGGGCUGUAGGGAGGGGGUUUGCAGAGGCUCCAGGAAGUGUAGAGACAGAUUCACAGGUCACAGGGCGGGGAGGGGAGUGUGGGGCAGUGCUGGCCCUGAGUCCGGAGAGGGAAAGCUUGCCCUGCACCCCGAGCUCUUGGUGGGAAUAGAUGACGCUGCCCCAGGAGCUUCUUCUGUCCCUGCUGAAGCUGCCAUGGAGAUGGGCCUGCGCAACCCCCUCAGCCCAGCGUCGCCCUCCCUCUGUCCUUGUCACAGUCUGGAACAGCAGCGACGACCACGACUGAGCUCCAGCCUCUGAGGGUGGGCGGUUGGGGAGCACAGAGGCUGCUGCGGGCCUGUCCCCUCUGCCCAGAGGAGCACAGGGCCCUGCUCUCCUGCACCUGCCUUCUCCUCCUGGGGAAUGGAGCCGGGGGGUGAGUGUGUGGCGGCAGGAUCUGAUGAUGGGACACUGUGCACGUAGGGUGGGACCUGGGAGAAGGAGACAAAGUGCCACCAGAGUUUAACCACUUACCUACUGAAGGACAGUUUUUGGUUUUUAUAAUUUUGUCCCCUAUGCGUAAAGCUGCUAUGAACUUCUGGUGAAGGUUUUUGUGUGAACCUAAAUUUUUCUGCACAGUAAAUAUCAAUGGCAAUGAGUAACGAAGGUUUGAAAAUGGGCCCGCCUCCAGGAACUUAGAAAGAAUGCAACACGCAUUAGAGGUUGAAAGGCUGAAACAGGCAGAGAGAGUAACCCUAACACCAUAUCUUAGAUUGAGCCAUUUCCUCAGGAAAAAAAUGCCGUUACCUAACGCACGACAGGUGCCGAGGACGUGGGAGGGACAGGUAUCACCACAUUUAAUAAAACACCAUCAGAACGUAUCUGGACAGGAGACCCCUGACCUUUAACCUGUCACAAGCUCUUUGUUCUUCGUCUCCAGAGAACAUUAAGUAGACAGAGAGCCACACCUAUGGAGCAGGUCCCCUGAAUGAACUGGAUUUCCACUUGAAUUAAGAAGAAACUCAUCGUCGCUGUGGACUCAAAUUAUUUGUGAAUGAACAGACAACUUCAGUUUCUCAUUUGAAUACUAGCGCAGAAUCACUAGAUUAAAUGGUAACGGAAUCCAAUGAAUCCCAACAGAGCAAGAAAGUGUCAGUGUGUUCCUGGCCUUCCUAUCGCUUCUCUACUGAAUAGAAGAGCAAAGGGAACCUUUCUGAAACUCGUCUUAAUAUCGGAGCAGCAGGCAAUUCCUGUACUUCUGUCUUCUGCUAUGACAGAGAUAGAAAUCAUCGUGUAUGUCAGGGAAACAAUCCAAUUUCCCUAAAUUUGGGGUGGGCGGUCUUUAUUUAAUACCAGGGGUUCCCCUCUACUAUUGACACUAUUCCAGUUGGGUCAGGUUUCCUGGAAGAGCUUUCCGAUUGAUUUUCAUUUUAAAACACAUUCGCUCCUCAUCCUCUCUCUGAGCUGGCAGGCAGGCCAAUUCAGGGAACACGCGUGAGGCCUGAGUCAUGUCAGUCCCUGACCUGGGCAGCUGGCUGUGAGGAGGCCCUAACAGACCCAGAACUCUUGUGCGGAAGUGCCUGAAAGCGGGACUCACUGAUCACAGUCAUGGCUCCCAGCCCUUGGUCCCCAUUUGGAGGAAUGGCUCCCCCUCUGGUCUGCAGAUCCCAGGAGGCAGCUGCUGAGACCCUUGCUCUGAGUAGCUGCCGGCCACCCGAGUGGUGUUCCUUUCGUUUCUGCUUUCCUCAGCAGUACCGUGAGGUCCCAGGCUGCGCCACAGAGACUGUCCAACAGCUGGCCUCCCUGGGAAUGCCUGAUUGAGGCCCCAUUUCCUUACACUCUUCCCUAGAAGAUAGUGACUUCUGUACUCACCCAGAGAAUCUUCAGGAAAUCUAUGGUGGGGCGUCUUCAAAAAGAUGCCUAAGGUCUUCACAAGAAAUGGACACGGAGGUCUAGAACAAGUACCGAACAGGGUUAGCUUUAAAGUUGGUGAAAUAUAAGAAAGCUAAAUUAAGAUUGUCAAGAAUAUGAUGCAGUGGGAAAAUAAGUCGUCUAAAAUAUUGAAUUGCACCAACUGUUUCUUCAAGGCUGCGAUGAUCAUUGGAUUUUCUCAUUCAUUCUGUUAACAUGAUCUGUAAUAAUGGUUAAUUCUUUUGAAUGUGAAAACAACCUUGCCUUCAGGAACUCAACUCUCUUUAAUGGCUUUUGUGUCCAUUUGCAUUUCCCCAAGAAUUUUCAUUUCUUUAUCUGAAGCACUGGUGGAUUUCUCUCAUGCUCUUUCAUUGCCUCCACCUUGCUGGAAUAUACCGCACGUUCCAAUGCAGACAUCAGCAUUGUGCUUCCUAGCAGAGAAGGCUGGAACCAAAGAAAUGGGCAAACUCGGAGACUGCAGUGGAGGAUGUGGCAUUGCUGUUAACGAGACCAGGAACCUCACAUUUCAAGAAAAACCACAAUCUCCUUCAUGAACAUAGAUGCACAACUCGUAAACGAGUCAUAAGCAAAAUAUAGCACAGUGAAGAUGAGAUUUAUGAUACUAAAGUGAACACAUGUGUUUUGUUCAGAUCUAGUGACAGCCUGUAUCAUCUACAGUUCAUAAAUGAGGAAAAGUACUAGGAUAUUUCUUCAAAAUGGUACUUUAUUAUAAGGAUGAAGGCUAAAAACUUCUAUUUGGUGGCCUAUUAAUAAGUACAUUAUAGGUUCUUUUUAGUUUUCCCUUAUUUCUUCCUUAGUCCUAUGUUUGCUACGCUAGGCAUAUUUGAGUGCCCAGUAUCUACUCAUUGGCUUACUGGAAGGCCAUCCUUAUCAUAGAAGGACAAUCAGGUCAAAAUUGUGUUGAGCUCUGUGGGGUCAAGAACACAGGACUGAGAGUCAAGAGACUUUGUGAUAGGCCUACCUGUGCCACAAACUAGACAUAUGACCUUAGGCAAGUAAGUCACAUGGCUCAAACCCUACAUAGGCCUUUUCUGGAAGAGGUAUGCCUGGGCCCACAGAAUCUCAAAAUUCCUCCAUUUUGCUUGUAUCUUUCCAAAGUAGUUCCUGCUCUCCAAAACUCUGCGAUCCAGGACAAAAGUAAGACAUAGCUAUAGAUGAUUCUGCUACCAAACGAAUGCUAAAAGAGGUUUACUAGAAGUGGAAUGAUGCAUGUGGACAUAUCGACUUUGCAAGGUUCUCUGAAAUUCUUUUAAAGGAGGCAUUUAUAGAAUUGGAUUUUGAGUCAUGGUUAGGAUGUUAAAGAACUGUUAGAAGGUGCAGAGAAAAGGAAAACCUUGAUCAGAACAGGAAAGUAGGGUUGCAAUGCUUAGCACCUUGAGAAGUGGUGAGCGCACAGACUGUAUCGGUGAGAAGUGAUCCACUGGGAACGUGCUGUAAGAAUGUCUGGACAGAAUGCAGAGCUACAGGUUGACCCACUGCUCACAGUAAUUCCAUGUUCAGACAUGCUAGUGAUGCUCUUUUUUGUGUCAGAUCCUACAGAUAUCUAUUGUUUCUGCCGCAUUUGAACUAUUAAACUAUUCAAGAGUCAAUAUUUUAAAUGGAACCAUGCCUGACACUUCAUAACUGCUAUAUAAGUGUUUGUAAUUACAAAGUAAAUAAAUAACUAACUUCCCAGUAUGCCUGCUCUCUUUGUUCAUGUGCUUCCGUGUGUUUCUUAAUUUGUCCCUACAUUAUUUGAUGAUAGGAGACAAUCAAGUAGCAGACUUGAAUUUCCG